CGCCAGGCUCGAAGUUAAAAGUGACAAAGGGAAUGCAGUGAAGUCUUUCUCCUGUCCCCCUGCCCAGCCGCUCAAUUCUUUCCCCAAAGAGCAGUAAGAGACUGGAAGGAAGAGAAGGAAGAGGAGGAGAAAGUCUUCCAGUAGGGUGAGGAAACUGAGGUUCAGGGAAGCAAGGCUACAGGGCUCGAAAGCUACAGAGACAGGACUGGAUUUUGGCCGAGGUCCCUGAGCACUUGGAGUGGAUGGAGCUUGGAGGAGGGCAGCACUGUGGACUAGCCAAG
Molecule: long non-coding RNA, 281 nt
Organism: Molossus molossus (Pallas's mastiff bat)
Lineage: Eukaryota; Metazoa; Chordata; Mammalia; Chiroptera; Molossidae
Exons: 3
Source: RefSeq, a predicted model, not a curated record